This 73-nucleotide ribosomal RNA is filed under the name Cathetus ussuriensis. RNAcentral describes it as "Phyllanthus ussuriensis partial 26S ribosomal RNA". The record is from RNAcentral. Lineage: Eukaryota; Viridiplantae; Streptophyta; Magnoliopsida; Malpighiales; Phyllanthaceae.
GCGACCCCCCGUCACGCGGGAUUACCCGCUGAGUUUAAGCAUAUCAAUAAGCGGAGGAAAGAACUACACGUCG